RNAcentral lists this ribosomal RNA (458 nucleotides) under uncultured bacterium. RNAcentral's name for it is "partial 16S ribosomal RNA". It matches the Rfam family "Bacterial small subunit ribosomal RNA", at positions 338 to 795 of the family's 1533-position model. The record is from RNAcentral.
CCUACGGGUGGCAGCAGUGAGGAAUAUUGGUCAAUGGGCGAGAGCCUGAACCAGCCAAGUCGCGUGAGGGAGUACUGCCCUAUGGGUUGUAAACCUCUUUUGUCGGGGAGCAAAAGCCGGACGUGUCCGGCUGUGAGAGUACCCGAAGAAAAAGCAUUGGCUAACUCCGGGCCCGCAGCCGCGGUAAUACGGGGGGUGCGAGCUUUAUCCGGAUUUUUUGGGUUUAAAGGGGUCGGGGGCGGAUUUUUAAGUCAGCGGUAAAAUCGUGGGGCUCACACCCGUCCAGCCGUUGAAACUGGGGAUCUAGAGUGUGCGAGCGGUAUGCGGAAUGCGUGGUGUAGCGGUGAAAUGCAUAGAUAUCACGCAGAACCCCGAUUGCGAAGGCAGCAUACCGGUGCACAACUGACGCUCAGGCACGAAAGCGUGGGUAUCGAACAGGAUUAGAUACCCGGGUAGUC